Molecule: transfer RNA, 85 nt
Filed under: Bdellovibrio sp.
Lineage: Bacteria; Pseudomonadati; Bdellovibrionota; Bdellovibrionia; Bdellovibrionales; Pseudobdellovibrionaceae
Description: tRNA-Leu
Rfam family: tRNA
About the family: Transfer RNA (tRNA) molecules are approximately 80 nucleotides in length. Their secondary structure includes four short double-helical elements and three loops (D, anti-codon, and T loops).
Source: RNAcentral
GCGCGGGUGGUGGAAUUGGUAGACACGCUGGUCUCAGAAGCCAGAGCCGAAAGGUGUAGGGGUUCAAGUCCCCUCUCGCGCACCA